RNAcentral lists this transfer RNA (23 nucleotides) under Swartzia simplex var. continentalis. RNAcentral describes it as "partial tRNA-His". The record is from RNAcentral. Lineage: Eukaryota; Viridiplantae; Streptophyta; Magnoliopsida; Fabales; Fabaceae.
GCGGAUGAGCCAAUUCAUUAUGG